This is a long non-coding RNA of Gadus chalcogrammus (walleye pollock), 1129 nucleotides long. RefSeq lists it as uncharacterized. The transcript has 7 exons. Lineage: Eukaryota; Metazoa; Chordata; Actinopteri; Gadiformes; Gadidae. The record is from RefSeq and is a predicted model, not a curated record.
GGACCGUGAACCAGUCUCUUCUCUUCUAGUUCUCCUACCUGGUCGUCAGUUAACGACGAUGUGUGAUGCAAAGAUGAAUGGGACUUGCAGAGAAGACCAUAGACCGCAGGUGGCCUCCCUGCAACGUUGUAAUUUCCUACUGAUCUUGGAGACAAAAUGAAGUAGCUGACAAAAUGACUUGCAGGUUGCCUGCCUGAAACGAUGGGGCCCUGGUGUGUUGUCUGGACUCAAAAUGGUGUAUUGAAGCUCUUGGACGAGGAGACAAAAUGGAUAAGCUGACUAAAUGACUAGCAGGGGCCAGGUGAACUCUGAAGUCUGAUGGCUGUUCCUUGGAGACAUGCUUCGAUAAGAGAAGAGGUAAUUCUAUUCAUCCUCAGGCGAGUCCAAAGGGAAGCAACAUAGCAUGCUAAUCCCCGGACCGGAUCUGUCCUCCAAAUUGCCUGCGAUACCAAUGGGUAGUUAUUGGCAGUUGUGGCCCUUAUGGACUAUUGGCACAAAUGACUGUCCUACAAUUGCAUGUAUGUUGGAUAUAAACCCGAUCCCUUUUCAGUAUCUGGUGUUAACGUAAUAAUGUCUUCAUAGGUCAAUGAUGCAGAUUGAGCUGGUGCCUGGAUCAGGAUGCUGAUGCAGGAUAUGCUUGGACUUUAAAGGUCCGAAAGCUUACCUGCUUGGAAGGACUUGGACCAAGUAGAGGUGUAAAGUUUUUGAAGAUUCCUGUUAAAACAGGAUGCCGUUUUGCUUCAAAUAAAAAAGAACGUUAAACAAAUCAUGUUGAGUAUUCAUCUUUGCUUCACUUUCCAGAAACUCUGAACAAACUGACAUAUUAUUACUUCAAGGAAAAACCCUAUAUUAAGACUUUUUUUAAAAAGUAGAAUAACUUCAGCAAAGGCAAUUAGGGGAUGGGACACAACUGCUGUGUGGGCAUCCAGGAAGACUAGUCUGCGACAACUAAUGGGGAUCCAUAAUAAACAAUCCUUUGAAGACUUGUGGGCCAAUUCCAGCCAGACCUCCGCAGUGCAUUAUACAAUGCCAAAACUGGUCAUACAAUGAACAAGUUUGCUCUAAAUCUAGGAUCUUGUUAACCUGACAUCCAUUUGUAACUAUUCCACCCCUGUACUAGCCGGAUGUG